AGAGAGUCGUCGGUGGUGGGGGGCGCAAUGCCGGCGGGCGCUCAGCGAGCGAGACCUGCCUAAGCGGCGAGCGGUCCCAUAACUCCGUGUGCGGCUAAGCAAUCAGGUUCGUCGAGGAUACUCCUCGCUCGUCACUUUUGCUAACGACUGAGGGCGGGGAGAAAGAGGGAGAUAAAGUGAGUGACCCAAGGAGAAACACCGAGGAGAGAGGGAACGAGAGGAAUCAUCGGGGAAAACUUGGAUGAUAGCGAAGAAUCAGCGUGACGAGGAGAACUGUGGAAAGAGUUACGCGAGAAGGAAAGUUUUGAAGAUAGCAGAAUGAAGUGGUGAAACAACUAGAGAAAAAAAACAGGAAAAAACGAAAAAAUAAGGUGAAAGUUGAUUCGUACACAUGAUUUAAAACACAAGAGAAA
Long non-coding RNA from Neodiprion virginianus, 413 nucleotides. RefSeq lists it as uncharacterized. The transcript is spliced from 2 exons. The record is from RefSeq and is a predicted model, not a curated record. Lineage: Eukaryota; Metazoa; Arthropoda; Insecta; Hymenoptera; Diprionidae.